This 575-nucleotide ribosomal RNA is filed under the name Micrixalus fuscus (dusky torrent frog). Its description in RNAcentral is "partial 16S ribosomal RNA". It matches the Rfam family "Bacterial large subunit ribosomal RNA", at positions 1839 to 2625 of the family's 2925-position model. The record is from RNAcentral. Lineage: Eukaryota; Metazoa; Chordata; Amphibia; Anura; Micrixalidae.
CGCCGGGCAUCAGCGUCAGCCUGCCCAGUGAAACAUUCAACGGCCGCGGAACCCUGACCGCGCGAAGGUAGCAUAAUCACUUGUUUCCUAAAUAGAGACUAGUAUCAACGGCAUCACGAGGGUUAAACUGUCUCCCUCCCCCAAUCAGUGAAACUGAUCUCCCCGUGAAGAAGCGGGGAUAAACCUAUAAGACGAGAAGACCCUAUGGAGCUUUAGGUCAGACGGGCAACCACCACUCAUCACAAAACCACAUAUCAAAUAGGACCUGCCCGUCCACCUUCGGUUGGGGCGACCACGGAGUAAAACAAAACCUCCACAACAAACAGGACUACACCUUAAUACAAGAGCCACCACUCUAAAAAUAGACAAAUCUAUGUAAAAUGACCCGAUAAUCGAUCAAUGAACCAAGUUACCCUAGGGAUAACAGCGCAAUCCAUUUCUAGAGCCCCUAUCAACAAAUGGGUUUACGACCUCGAUGUUGGAUCAGGGUACCCCCAGUGGUGCAGCCGCUACUAAAGGUUCGUUUGUUCAACGAUUAAAACCCUACGUGAUCUGGUUUUUCAAAAAAACAAGAA